Molecule: unclassified non-coding RNA, 3727 nt
Filed under: Gigantopelta aegis
Lineage: Eukaryota; Metazoa; Mollusca; Gastropoda; Neomphalida; Peltospiridae
Description: uncharacterized LOC121367473, transcript variant X6
Source: RNAcentral
AGUUUGGGCUAGGUAAGGCCCUGUGCUGUACUAAAUAUGUUCAGUUUUCAAGACUAUGUUUUAGGUACAGACCUUGACAGCUGUGCCAGCCAGCUUCAGGUGACAGGACUGCAGUCAUAUUUAAGGAGUCAUGAAGAAGGUUCCACGAAAUCCUCAAACAGCAGAGAAUCUCCCACUGCGACGCAGCAUGGCCCCGUGAAAAGGAAUGAUGUCUCCAUUGCACUCACUGGUUCGAUUACUCCCACAAAACACUCACCUAGACCGGUCAGUGCCUCGAAGAGAAAGAAUACAACUGGAUCGCCAAGGACGCAUAAGGAACAAACCUUUGAAAUUGAAGUAGUUGGCAGUAAUAGUAGUAUAUGCGGAGAGAAAAUGUGGUUGCCAAGCACUUCCAGACAGGAACUCAAUGGGACUGAAUCAUCUGAGAGUCUCAGUUCUUCUAAAGUUAAACAUAAUGGAGGUGGAUUGCAAAACUCUCACAUAAAGCACAACGAUAACACUGCAGCGUUCAAAAAGCACUGUUCAUCUGCAGGUCAACGUAGAGGCGAGUUGUCGAGCACACCAAGAGAAUCAAUUUGUGGCAAGGAAGCAACUGGCAAUAAGAAUUCAUCUAUAGGGAAACCGACACUCCAUUUGGUGAAUAUCCCAACAGAAGGAACACGUGAAAAAGAAACAAUUAGCAACGACAGUCUCUCUAAAGGUAAAGAAAGAAUGCAGUUGUUGAGUACUUCUAGAUUACAAGGACUUAAAACGGAAGAAAUAACUAAACAAAAUCUUUCAGAACAAAAACACACUAUAAAACAACGUCCAAAACAGAACCAAACUGUAAAAUGUCUAGAGAAAAACAUUCAUGAACAUGAAAUAUCAAAACACAGUUCAAAUGUAGCAGAAUGUCUUAAACAAAUAUCUACAGCGAGACAUUUAGAGCAGAAACCUGCAGAAAACCCUGUAGAAAUAAUGUGUUCCAUGUCCGCUAGUAUAGAACAGAGAUCCACAGCGGAGCAACAUUUGAAACAAAGUCCUACAGCAGAACAACAUUUGAAACAAAGUCCUAGAGCAGAACAACAUAUGAAACAACGUCCUACAGCGGAGCAACAUUUGAAACAAAGUCCUACAGCAGAACAACAUCUGAAACAAAGUCCUACAGCAGAACAACAUUUGAAACAAAGUCCUACAGCAGAACAACAUUUAAAACAUACAUCAGCUGUAGAAGAAUGUUCGAAUCAAAAUUGUACUAUAGAACAAAGUUUAGAACACCAUCUAGCAGCCAGUUAUACUGUAGAACAGUCCACUAGAAGUACGAAGACUGUCACGUGUUCAAAAGAUGAUCAAGCGUCUGUUCGACGUAACAAAGGAUAUGUCAACUCAAAUUCAGCCUUACAAGAUGGAAAUGUCACGAACAUUCACUCUCAAAGCAGUCGCCGUGAAUGCACUGAAAAAGAAUACAUUAAGCCAGAUACUCAGUCACAUUCUUGUGAUCGCCCAGUGGAUACAUGUGUUCAAUUACCGUGCGAAAUGCAGCGUCCUCUAGUGGUAGGCAAAUGCCUUGAAGACCGAGACACGACAGAUGUACACACCAAGGGCGUUGAUGACCUGCAUCACACGGUCCGAUCACUCCAACGUCCAGCUUACUCAACACAUUUAGACAGCAAUUCCAGCAGAUUUUCUGUAGGAUGCUGUACAAACGCCACACCACAAGUUGUACUGCCCUCUAAUGGAACGUCAUUACAACAGUUUAGUAGUUCCAGAUCAACGUUGACGUCACUACCAGAAAAAACAAGGGAGAGAACUACAAUGCCCGGUACUUCAGUCGAUGCAUGUCAGUCUGGGAAAGGAAGUACAGAAAACAACCGUGGACAUCUUAAUGACAUCGCUGACGAUGUACAGCACCACAAAGAAAGCUUCUCGGUACAUGGUGUCAGCAGUGGGAAGCACGUUGGUGAAGUGCUUGAAAAUAAAGUAACAGAUGGCAUGUGUUCAGAUAGAGUGACUAAGGCGAAACAAUACUCUUUAAAAUGGUCAAAAGGGAGAAGUUUAAAUACUGCAAACCAUGAACCAGAUAACACGAGUGCAAUGGACAAGCACCCUCUCCACAAAGAUCAGAUAAAUAACGAAGUACACCAGUCAUGGAAGAUGUCGUCAUCUAAUCGGUAUAAAGACUUGAAACAAGAAACGUCUGUUAGUGGCAGACUGUUUGAUGACAAUGCCACAGAAAAGCUGCUUUCGCGUUCUAGACACUUUAAGGAUGAGAUUUGUGUUGAACAUCAGAGUCAAAAUGACGGGCCACCGACUACAGUUGAACAGAAAGGCAACAAAAGAAAAAUUACCGAAACAAACAGUAUGGUACGACAAACCAGUUCCACGACAACAACAUUUUAUGCAGUAAAGAAACUAGUAGCGAAUGAAAACGUUGAAAGUUGCAAAAGAAAGAAUGCCACUGAACCCGGUUUCUGGUGUGGACACCUAUGCUCCCUAAAGUCUCAGACUUCUGUUAAAACAGGUUCGCAAAAGAAUAAAUCCAUCGACUGUAGUUUAACGAGUGUGCAUGCGAAUCAACGGGCUCAAAAGACUGAGGACCACCUUGAAGAAUGUCUGGAAGGAACUAACACCACUGACUCUAGCCGUAUAAGAAAUGUACGCGAACCACAAUACUGUCCAGAUCACGAUGGUAACAAAGGAAAAGGUCUGAGUCUGAACAGAAGGGCUGAGCCUGGUCAUGUGAUGAGCUUACACGAGGUACCGAGAUAUAGAGACUUCAGAAAUGAUACAAAUUCAGCCACUCUGGAUAACACGGGAGACUCCUCCGAUCCAUCCAGUGAUGACAAUCACCCACUAGCAGGCAAUCCAAAAUGUCUAAAGUCAUUACCAGGUUUAUUACUACGUCAAGGACCAUCAGUACUAUACGUUCCCAAUAUUGACUUGAUGUAUGACAAAUGGAAGCGAAAGAAAUGCAAAAAGAACAGAAAGAAGAGGAGGAGGAGGAAACGCAAGAAAUCUUCUAGAACAAAUACUGGAUCUAGUAGUUCGAGUGGUACUGGCAACUCAACGUCUGAGGACGAUUCCAAACCAUCUAAACUGCUAGCCAGAACAAAACGUGUAAGACAUCAAAUACGGAAAAAGCGAAGAUAUUUAAGGAAACUGAGCAUCAAAAAGUGUCAAAGAGACAUUUCUACCCAGUGGACACUUGGUAUCAUUGGCAGGAGCCACGUCUAUGCCAGACAGUUCAAAACACAACUUGAAGACUGAGCGCAACCAACCACGCGUGCACAGUGCAUUAAGAAACCGGCCGUCUACUAGUGGAAUGACUCGCCACAGAAAAAAAAAAAAAAGAAAAAGUCUGUUGUGGAAAAAAAGAAAAUAACAUCUUGAUAUUCGGCGAACGUUUGAGCAAUCCGAUUCUGCGGCACAACCACAGAGAGAAAGCUACUGGAAAGAAACGUGUAUCCUGUUCCCCGUUUUCAUGUCCUAGUCAGACUUCCACAAGGUCAAGGUUAUGCAGAGUAUAGUACGGACGAGACUCAUAGUGUUCGGGAGAAACAAUCUCCAGAAAAAACAUACCGUGCAAUAGAAAAAUUAUUAUAACCCCUUGCGUUAACAAAAAACUAUUUACUUUUUUUUAUAACAUUAUCUAUAGAUCAUUUCACAAGACUAAUUUUAAAUGAUAAAACAUUAUGUAAACGGUGUUUCUAGUUUGUUGUAGCAUAUGUAAUAAAUAUCUUUUUAAUGA